Long non-coding RNA from Strongylocentrotus purpuratus (purple sea urchin), 370 nucleotides. RefSeq lists it as uncharacterized. The record is from RefSeq and is a predicted model, not a curated record. The transcript is spliced from 2 exons. NCBI's taxonomy places the organism in Eukaryota, Metazoa, Echinodermata, Echinoidea, Camarodonta, Strongylocentrotidae.
AUAAGUUAUUAUCAUUAAUUAUGUACUGAAAUGUAAAGUAAUGUUCAUUGAAAUGCGAAUAACAUUAGUAAAUUCUGUCAAAACUAAAUCGUUGGUCGUUUUAAGUAAAAUUCCAGUUGGACAAAUUAUUUGAUAUCCGUGUGCCGAUAAGUUCGGUGAACGCGUUGACCCUUGGCUUUUCUGAAUUACGACCUGGCCCAAGCAAUACGUGUUUUGUGGGGUCUUCAAGAAACGCCAAAGUUUCAAGGUAUAUUUUGCUGCCCAAGGAUGGAAAAGUCCUGCCAACGAGUUUUCACGGCACUGUUCAUCACUGUUACUUUGUUUUGACAAUCGUUAAGUCAAAUAAAGACAUUCGUCACCAGAAAAUGAA